UUUACAAAGCAAGUGACAGAGAUUGUACAGAGUGUCUGGACACCCCUCCCCCAGCUUCACCUCAUGCUGGCAUCUCAGCACCAUGGCACUUUUAUCAAAACUAAGAGAACAACAUUGAUGCAGUCCUGUGAACUACAGACUUCAGUUGCCUUUCCCAACAUCUAGUCCACUUAGCUUUGUGUAGGGUUUUUUCAAAGUGAAAAUGCCCCAUGAAUUCCUUUCUGCAGACUGUGCAGAGGAACUGCAUUCUUAGCCUUGACACCUGGGGACAGCAGAGCGAUGACAAAGAGGACCUUGUUCUGAUGCCGGCCCCGCCUCCACCGGGCUUUCCCCAGAAGUGCAGUUGUGGAGGCUGGCGCCCAUGCGGCUCUACACGCUCUCCAAGCGCCACUUUGUCCUCGUGUUUGUUGUCUUCUUCGUCUGUUUUGGCCUGACCGUCUUCGUCGGGAUCAGAGGGCCCAAAGUAAUCCAGACUUCUGCAGCUAAUUUUUCACUAAAUAAUAGUAAAAAGGUAAGACUGCGUCGAAGGGGUGGCUGGCGGGGCCUUAGUCACUUCUGGGUCACUUGGGAUCCUUGGGGCACACACCACCCUGGCCGUGCAGCUUGCUUCUUAGGCAGCACGCAUAUCUCACCCGUGGUCAGCUGCUGGCUUCUGGCCUCUCGUUUGCGAGAAGGACCUUCUCUGCUGCGGUAAUAGCGCAGCCUGGAGAGGAUGGUGCUGUCAGCUCAGGGAGCAGCAGUUGCUUUCCAAAUACCAGUCGACUCACCCUGAUUCCUCAUGCCCUCAAGUCUUCCUAGACCGUAAGUUCUGGCAGUGCUCCCUUGGACCAUUCCUUACUGCAUUUACGCAAGUUAAUGC
Ailuropoda melanoleuca (giant panda) is the source of this 859-nucleotide long non-coding RNA. RefSeq lists it as uncharacterized. The transcript has 3 exons. The record is from RefSeq and is a predicted model, not a curated record. NCBI's taxonomy places the organism in Eukaryota, Metazoa, Chordata, Mammalia, Carnivora, Ursidae.